Meleagris gallopavo (turkey) is the source of this 2924-nucleotide non-coding RNA. Lineage: Eukaryota; Metazoa; Chordata; Aves; Galliformes; Phasianidae. The record is from RefSeq and is a predicted model, not a curated record.
UUAAUGUUGCGUGGAAUGGCUGAUGUGGAAGCAAAUCCAGGAUUCAACGGCUACAACUCUCCAGAAUCUGCCUGUCCCAAAGGAAUGGGCUUUUCUACCCAGAGCAGAAUAUAUUUUGUAAACAACAUAGAAAUAAUCCAUAGAAAAAGGGAAAAACUAAUUUUCUCCUAUGCCUAUGCUCCUGCAGAUGCAUUAAUUACUGAUAUUGCUCCCUUCAUUUUGACUCCAGUGUUCUCCAGAAGGCAGCAGGAGCAGAAUCAUUAAGGUUGGAAAAGACCACUCAGAUCUCCAAGUCAUCCCAUCUCCACCGUGCCCUCUAAACCGUGUCCUCAGGAAUGGUGACUCCACCACCUCCAUACUGCUUCCUCAGCCCAGUUAGUGCAGGUGAACGCUGUGCCUCUGAGCUUCCUCUCUGCUUCGGUGCCAUUUGCAACAAACCUGGAGAUGCUGGAGCAGAAAGUGCAAGCAGAUGCUGAUUUGUUCUCUUCCCUCCCGUAUUGAAGUUGUUAGGAACCUGACUGGGAUCAGGAAGGGACACUGAGUGGGCUGGGCAGUGCCCAAGGACAUGGGGACGAACCAGCUGGAUGGAUGGAGGAACUGCUCACCUCUUUCUCCCCAGGGUACCUGCAUGUUGGGAGGCAGCAAGGAAGGAGUGGGAGUCAUGGAAUCAUUAAGGUUGGAAAAGACCUCUAAGAUCGUCCAGUCCAACUGUCCAGCUGCUGCCUGUACUGCCCAGUAAACUGCAUUCCUAAGUACCACACCUACAUGUCCCCUGUAAUGGUGACCCCACCGCCUCUCUGGGCAGCUUCUUCCAGUGCCCAGCCACUCUUUCAGAGAAGUUUUUCCUAAUAUUGAACCUGAACCUCUUCUGGUGCAACUUGAGGCCAUUCCCUCCCACCCUAUGGUUGUAUCUGGGUUGCAGGAAGAGAUGUGAGCUGUGGGGAUGUUUGUUCAUCAACUCAGUGUUUGCUGGUUAUUUGGAACAUCUCUACUGCUGACAACCUUGUGGGCCAAAUACAAGGCUGCUGGCAUCCCAUCCUAUUUGGGGUUGUGCUCAUCUCUGCCACAGCUUCAGGCCAAAAGCUCCGUACUCUGCUAUCCUGGCUUUCAGGAAGGGCCAUUCCCAGCCUCUACAAAGUAUUUGAUUUAGGGGGAAUCAAUCUCCUAAAUUAUCCUCCCUUUUAAACUGGCUAGAACAGCUGGGCUGCAAGCAACAGGGAGUUGUUUUUCUCCUCCUCCCUUCAUCUUCAAACAAUUUUGAAUGCCUGGUGGGGGAGCAUACUCCUCCAUCUGUCCACAACCUCCCCAGGUGGGUAAUAAUAGAUGCUUCUUAUAGAAAAAUUCAAUUAGACUUGACAAGAGAUGUAUGUUAGUGCUUCCUUGCCAGGGCCCUGUCUUGCCAUUUCUGUUCCUCUGCAAGACACCAACUGCAGAAGCUAUUUUGGAGAAACAAAACAACCACCAUUUUCAAGUAUAAUGGUAUUUACAGCCAGGACUGGCUGUGGUGGGCUUUGUGGGAUAGAAAAUUACUGACAGCAAGGUGCAGCAGGCUAGCCAGGAUGUCAGAUGAUGACAGCAGGAAGGCCUGUGUGCAGUGCUGUGACUGGGGCUUCUCUUUGUGCCUCUGAACAGUAAAGCAGCCAAGGUUGGAGAUGUGUUCAUUCAUCUUGGCUGCCAAAAGCUCUGAGCUCUGGUUCCUGUGUUCAGCAGUGGAGGGAGACCUUUCUGUGUGUCUUCCUUUCUUCUUUUCUUCUUCAGCUUUCUAAAUACUUGGCUGAUAAAGUAUCUGUGAAUUAUUUCUGUACAAUUUUUUUUUUGUAUGGUAUAUUGCAUGUCUGCAUUGUUCAUCAGUAUUCCCAAAAUCUACUGUGUAGUAGCCAGGGUCAGCACAACAGAAGCAUUAGAAACCCUCCUUUGGUCACUGAAGCUACAUGUGAUAGAGCCGUUUAGUGGCAGAAAGCAUUAAUGCAGCUAAGCUGUUUUGUCACAGUUGUACUUACUUUCUUUAGUCCUAUGAAACUGCACGGUCUGCAUUCCCACAAAGUCUGUGAUGUGUGAGAGGCCGUUCAGCUCCUGUGCUCUGUUCAGUCUUGGACAGAAGCUGAGUGGGAUGGAUGAAUGCAGUGCAGAUUUCAGUGCACUCAUAUUUCACGUGUUUGACCAAAAGGCAUUAGGAGUAAAAUAUUUGCAAUGGAUCGAGCAAGUGAGAUUAUUCUCCAAGUACACAGGCACCGCCCAUUUUCCUUGCUUGCCUUGUAACUCUAGCACUGGGUGCAAGCAGUCAGUGGCAGCUCUGCAGACUCUGCAGCAGAGCCAUUUUCUUAAUGAAACUGCAAGGCAUGGAGUCUUGGGAAGCAUCUCUUAAAACUGAGUGGGAAGGUCAGGACAGCCAGGCUGCCUCUAGCAAUCAGUGUGAACAUCAGGGGAAGGAAAGACUCUGACAGCUGCAUUUCUUGUAAGGGAGCUGUGUGCACUGAGUGGUUCAACCUAGAUAAGCCUAAAGUGGGGACUGUGGCCCUAUCCUGUAUUUACAAGGGACACAGUAUCUGAAAGCUUAAUCCUGGGCUUUAUCCUGACUAUAACAUGAUGGCUUAGGAAAGAUUCAAUUUAACAAUUGCAUCCAGACCUGGUGUAUUGAUCCCCUCGCUGCCCUGAUCCUUAGGGACACGCCAGGGCCUUGGGGCAGGGCUCUGGCAGUGAGCUGAAUAUUAAUUUUGAAAUGGGGUCAGCUGCACUAAACGCUGUGCUGAAUAAAGCUGCACUGUGUCACUGUGUGACUGUGUGCAAGGUAGUGGAAAGAGCUGACUGGUUCUGGUCUCUCCUGGAGCAGAACAGCGGAGCUCACAGCAGAGCUAUACUCGCAGAUACCCACGGGUCAGAGCUGGGUGUUGUAGGAGCCUUCCUAGAUCUUCUCCAUGCCUUCC